Molecule: non-coding RNA, 31 nt
Filed under: Rattus norvegicus (Norway rat)
Lineage: Eukaryota; Metazoa; Chordata; Mammalia; Rodentia; Muridae
Source: RNAcentral
UGAGCAUGUGCUUCAGUCCCUGGCAGUUCAC